AGGACGGUUGAAACUUUGAACAUGUUUCCUGUUUGUCGUUACAGAGGAACAGACUCCAGAGUCUCCACUUCUGGAUGAACCAUGGAGGGAACUAUGCUGGGGAGACAGACAAAGGGAUCUUCAGUAUGUGCAGGAGUACAAACCUGCAAGAGAGGACAUCAGGUACCUUCGAGUCCUGCUAUAUGGACCUGUUGGAGCUGGAAGGUCCAGUUUAAUUAACUCUGUCAGUAAUGUCCUUCGAGAACAAAUUACGAUUCCUGCAUUGGCUAGUGCGACCACAUGUGACAAAAACUUCACCAAACAA
Girardinichthys multiradiatus is the source of this 304-nucleotide long non-coding RNA. RefSeq lists it as uncharacterized. NCBI's taxonomy places the organism in Eukaryota, Metazoa, Chordata, Actinopteri, Cyprinodontiformes, Goodeidae. The record is from RefSeq and is a predicted model, not a curated record. The transcript is spliced from 3 exons.